This 430-nucleotide ribosomal RNA is filed under the name Bacillota bacterium. RNAcentral describes it as "Firmicutes bacterium partial 16S ribosomal RNA". It matches the Rfam family "Bacterial small subunit ribosomal RNA", at positions 355 to 776 of the family's 1533-position model. Lineage: Bacteria; Bacillati; Bacillota. The record is from RNAcentral.
UGGGGAAUAUUGGACAAUGGGCGCAAGCCUGACCCAGCCAUGCCGCGUUUGUGAAGAAGGCCUUUUGGUUCUAAAGCUCUUUAAGCGAGGAGGAGGCUACUUGGAUUUAUAUUCUUGGAUAGUUGCCGUUACUCUCAGCAUAAGCUCCGGCUAACUCUGCGCCAGCAGCUGCGGUAAUCCUGAGGCUGCUAGCGUUAAUCUGAUUUAUUGGGCGUAAAGCGUGCGUAGGCGGCUUUUUAAGUCAGGUGUGAAAUCCCUGGGCUUAACUGUGGAAUUGCAUUCGAUACUGUGAUGCUAGAGUAUGGGAGAGGGUGAUAGAAUUCCAGGUGUAGCGGUGAAAUGCUUAGAGAUCUGAAAGAAUACCGAUGGCGAAGGCAGCCGACUGGCGUAAUACUGACGCUGAGGUAAGAAAGCAUUGGGAUCAAACAGG